CUCUACGGGGCCUUCCCUCGGCGGUGGCUGACGCGACACCAGGGCGGGUCCGGGAGCCCCAGCUCCUAAGCCACGCCCCGAAAGGCUUGGCGCGCCGCUGCAGAGCUCCAGUCUUCCCGUCCGGAAACUGGGUCUCUGGCCGGGAAAGACUUGGGUCGCUUACGCAAGCCCAGGAUGGUAUUAGUGUGGUCGCCUUCAGUCCUGGGAACCUAGUCCUGAGGGUGACAGCCUCCUUGCCUCUGUUGGACUCGAAAUUUCUACUUGGUGUCUCCCUGCUCCAAGAGCCACCCUGUUUGUAGCCCAGAGGAGGCAGGGCCUGGGUUUGUGCUUGCCUGAGACAGAGAAUGAACUCCGCCCAGGAGUGGCCAGACCAUAACUUCCAGGAAUCUCACCAUGCUUCAUCUCUGAUAGUAAACAAAUUAAAUCUCAGAACUGCUCUGAGCUGAGAAAGGGAUCUCACUACCAGAACACCCGUGAGAAGCUCAGCCGUAACAACACAGUGAGACUACGGGAAGGAAUUAAAUAGGAUGCCAGCGGGCUACAUGGUCCCCAAAGGUUUGCUGUGAUGCUGCCCUGUUCCAUCUAUGCCAGAGGAAGAAAGCAUGGUUACCUCAGCUUGGUUUUGGCAGGGAAGGGAAUCUCACACCAAGUUUCCAAACAACCCUGGAGUGCUCAACUAUCUUCUCUCUAAUGGGGUCUGGUUCUUUGGGAACAAGGGCAGUUGGGAAUGGUGACAUUCCUUUGUAUUUCACUUUUGUAACAUUAUUGAGGGCCAUGAAGCUCCUUUCUGAGUCACAACACCUUAACAUAUGGAUGACUUGGAGCUUUUAGACAGACAUGAAGAAAUGACAGAUCUGUAUGCUCCACAUGCUAAUGCUGGUGGAGGCUUGUUAUUAAAUUAUAUAUACAGGAAUUUACAGGAUAAAUUAAAAUCUAAGAAAUUCUAAA
Long non-coding RNA from Meriones unguiculatus (Mongolian gerbil), 948 nucleotides. RefSeq lists it as uncharacterized. The transcript has 3 exons. Lineage: Eukaryota; Metazoa; Chordata; Mammalia; Rodentia; Muridae. The record is from RefSeq and is a predicted model, not a curated record.